GCCAGAGUGCUGGAACCGGUAGACAGGCACGCUUCAGGAGCGUGUGCUCUUUAUGAGCGUAGGAGUUCGAUUCUCCUCUCUGGCACUA
This 88-nucleotide transfer RNA is filed under the name Candidatus Shapirobacteria bacterium CG09_land_8_20_14_0_10_38_17. RNAcentral's name for it is "tRNA-Leu". The record is from RNAcentral. Lineage: Bacteria; Candidatus Shapironibacteriota.